CCUACGGGGGGCUGCAGUGGGGAAUAUUGGACAAUGGGGGCAACCCUGAUCCAGCCAUGCCGCGUGUGUGAAGAAGGCCCUCGGGUUGUAAAGCACUUUCAGUGAGGAAGAACGCCUGGUGGUUAAUACCCAUCAGGAAAGACAUCACUCACAGAAGAAGCACCGGCUAACUCCGUGCCAGCAGCCGCGGUAAUACGGAGGGUGCGAGCGUUAAUCGGAAUUACUGGGCGUAAAGCGCGCGUAGGUGGCUUGAUAAGCCGGUUGUGAAAGCCCCGGGCUCAACCUGGGAACGGCAUCCGGAACUGUCAAGCUAGAGUGCAGGAGAGGAAGGUAGAAUUCCUGGUGUAGCGGUGAAAUGCGUAGAGAUCGGGAGGAAUACCAGUGGCGAAGGCGGCCUUCUGGACUGACACUGACACUGAGGUGCGAAAGCGUGGGUAGCAAACAGGAUUAGAUACCCCAGUAGUC
RNAcentral lists this ribosomal RNA (465 nucleotides) under Vreelandella stevensii. RNAcentral describes it as "partial 16S ribosomal RNA". It matches the Rfam family "Bacterial small subunit ribosomal RNA", at positions 338 to 795 of the family's 1533-position model. The record is from RNAcentral. Lineage: Bacteria; Pseudomonadati; Pseudomonadota; Gammaproteobacteria; Oceanospirillales; Halomonadaceae.